CCUACGGGUGGCAGCAGUGAGGAAUAUUGGUCAAUGGGCGCGAGCCUGAACCAGCCAAGUCGCGUGAGGGAAGACGGCCCUACGGGUUGUAAACCUCUUUUGCCGGGGAGCAACGUGCGCCACGUGUGGCGCCCCUUAGAGUACCCGGAGAAAAAGCAUCGGCUAACUCCGUGCCAGCAGCCGCGGUAAUACGGAGGAUGCGAGCGUUCUCCGGAUUUAUUGGGUUUAAAGGGUGCGUAGGCGGAGCGUUAAGUCAGUGGUCAAAUUGAGGGGAUCAACCCCUUCCCGCCAUUGAAACUGGCGCUCUUGAGUGGAAGAGAAGUAUGCGGAAUGCGUGGUGUAGCGGUGAAAUGCAUAGAUAUCACGCAGAACCCCGAUUGCGAAGGCAGCAUACCGGCGCCCGACUGACGCUGAGGCACGAAAGUGCGGGUAUCGAACAGGAUUAGAUACCCCAGUAGUC
This 460-nucleotide ribosomal RNA is filed under the name uncultured bacterium. Its description in RNAcentral is "partial 16S ribosomal RNA". It matches the Rfam family "Bacterial small subunit ribosomal RNA", at positions 338 to 795 of the family's 1533-position model. The record is from RNAcentral.